UGAAUGAUAAUGGUCCCAACUCUGGCUUAUAGUAGCUCAUGAGUGUGCAGUUAUAAUGGGACAUGACUAACUUGCCCGCUUCAAAUUCAGAUCUCUUUUUAGGAUCCUGAUGCUCUACUGUAGCUCUCCAAAAGCAAAGCAGCCUUUGUUUCCUAGUCCUGUUGAAUGUCACUGAAGCAUCAUUGCACAUGUUACACCACGAUCGCUUAGGACAGAGUUCUGCAGCUCAGAUAAAGUGACUUUAGUCAUACGUGGGUUGAGAUGGAUUUAGGAAGAGAACAGACGACAAUGUAUGGAUCAGUUAGCCCCUUCCUCUGGAAUAUGCUUGUUUGGUCUAGAAGGGAAAGCCUUUUAUGUAGACUGUUAAGGACCACAACUGGAAAAGCACCUGUCCCUGACAUACUUUCACUCCGUAUUUGUGACCGUAUAGGGUCAGUCAAGAGGAAGAAGCUCUUGGUUUUGGUUAAAAUUCUCUGAAUCUACAGCACCUGAUACUUUAUGGAUGCUACCAGAGACAAUAAAGCCAUCAUAAUUAAGGUAAGGCUCUGAAAUGUGAGACUUUACAAAGAAGGCCAGAAUCACUGCUCCAGUUUCAGAGAUGGAGAAGUCAAAAAGCUAAACAGAGAAGGAAAAAAAAGAAAGACACCAAAGGACCUGGACCAGUCCGAAUGGAAGCAUUAGCUGGACCACUGGAGCUGGAAAGAUACACUGAGACAUAAAACCAGGAGGGC
This 731-nucleotide long non-coding RNA is filed under the name Gallus gallus (chicken). RNAcentral's name for it is "long non-coding RNA NONGGAT002066". The record is from RNAcentral. Lineage: Eukaryota; Metazoa; Chordata; Aves; Galliformes; Phasianidae.